Molecule: non-coding RNA, 117 nt
Organism: Acanthosepion pharaonis
Lineage: Eukaryota; Metazoa; Mollusca; Cephalopoda; Sepiida; Sepiidae
Source: the annotation of a GenBank genome assembly
CGGUCAAAUUACGUUAAAAAACACCGGUUCUCGUUCGAUCACUAUAAGUUAAGCAUCGUAGAGCCAGGUCAAACUCAUUAGAUGGGGGACCGCUUGGGAACACCUGGUACUGUAAGC